UACGUAGGUGGCAAGCGUUGUCCGGAUUUAUUGGGCUUAAAGGGUGCGUAGGCGGCCUUGUAAGUCAGCGGUGAAAUAUCCCGGCUUAACCGGGAGGGUGGCAUUGAUACUGCAGGGCUUGAGUAAAGUUGAGGUUGGCGGAAUUGACGGUGUAGCGGUGAAAUGCUUAGAUAUCGUCAAGAACACCGAUAGUGAAGACAGCUAACUAAGCUUUAACUGACGCUGAGGCACGAAAGUGUGGGGAGCAAACAGG
RNAcentral lists this ribosomal RNA (253 nucleotides) under uncultured bacterium. Its description in RNAcentral is "partial 16S ribosomal RNA". It matches the Rfam family "Bacterial small subunit ribosomal RNA", at positions 524 to 776 of the family's 1533-position model. The record is from RNAcentral.